GCCCGAAUGGCCAAGUGGUUAAGGCGUGGGAUUGCAGAUCCUAAGGUCCCCGGUUCGAGUCUGGGUUCGGGCU
This 73-nucleotide transfer RNA is filed under the name Clonostachys rosea. It matches the Rfam family "tRNA". From Rfam's summary of the family: Transfer RNA (tRNA) molecules are approximately 80 nucleotides in length. Lineage: Eukaryota; Fungi; Ascomycota; Sordariomycetes; Hypocreales; Bionectriaceae. The record is from RNAcentral.